AGAUAAGACAUGGCAAAAGAAGAAGUGGAAGAAGGAGGAAUCAAGAGGCAAGAAACAAGGAUGGGGAUGCCUUUCAGGAUAGCUUGGCUUGAGUUGGAGAAGAUAUUCGCAAUGCGUGUAACAGGCAACAGAGUCGGAUCUAAGACAUAUGAAGAAUCCAUUCAAGGGAAGCAACAAGGCUGAUGCCCUGGACAGAAGGAUUCACAGAAUGGAGAAAGAUCUAGAAAUCUUUUUUGCUAACAGAAGCCAUCAACACAAAUGUGACACCCGAGAACAGCUUACAACUGAUCUGAAGAUCAAAUGAGUUAGCUUUUGCAAAGCACAAAGCAGAUAAGGAAACGGAGGAAAAGAGAUGUUAAGAUCAACGUGUCCUCAGGCUGGCCCAGUGGCACAGCAG
RNAcentral lists this long non-coding RNA (397 nucleotides) under Equus asinus (donkey). Its description in RNAcentral is "lncRNA (ENSEASG00005034097.1)". The record is from RNAcentral. Lineage: Eukaryota; Metazoa; Chordata; Mammalia; Perissodactyla; Equidae.